RNAcentral lists this ribosomal RNA (250 nucleotides) under uncultured bacterium. Its description in RNAcentral is "partial 16S ribosomal RNA". It matches the Rfam family "Bacterial small subunit ribosomal RNA", at positions 524 to 773 of the family's 1533-position model. The record is from RNAcentral.
UACGGAGGGUGCAAGCGUUACUCGGAUUUACUGGGCGUAAAGCGCAUGUAGGCGGUUAGAUAAGUCUGUUGUGAAAUCCCGGAGCUCAACUCCGGAAGUGCAGUGGAUACUGUUUAACUAGAAUUCAGGAGAGGAGAGUGGAAUUCCUGGUGUAGAGGUGAAAUUCGUAGAUAUCAGGAGGAACACCGGUGGCGAAGGCGGCUCUCUGGACUGACAUUGACGCUGAGAUGCGAAAGCGUGGGUAGCAAAC